CUCUGUGAAGCUCUGGUUUUUGAGGCGGGGGCGGGCCCUGGCACCAGGAUGUGGGAGGGACAGCAGUUGAGGUUGAGGCUAAUUUCUCUCCCGGGUGGUUGGCAGCGUUGUGUAAAUAUCAUCCCUUUUUGGACUCCGUGUUUCAUCUAAUCAAUCAGCAUGGAAAUUAAGCAGGGUUUACAUUAAUUGUCGCAUGUUCUUUCUGGUGAUGCUGGUGCUGCUGAUUUGGGAAGGGCUCUUGGAGAGCUGAUGGCAUUAGACAAAAACCUCUUUCCUAGAACUACUCUCCCUCCCAGAAAGUACGUGAGAGAGCUCAUCAGCCAGUUCGCAGCAGAGCAGCUACAAGAACCCACAGACGGUAGAAGGGGAAAUUCCAGAUGCUGAAUAAUUUGGUGGGAAGAGUGAUUAAAGUUUUCUCUUCUGAGGAAGAACCCAUUUGGGAUUAUUUUGUUCCCUUGGUCAUUUCUCUGAGGAUUACUUCACUCUCUCCAUCUUCCCGUGUGGCUGGCAGCAUGGACUUUUCUAAAAACCCCUGUUU
Molecule: non-coding RNA, 538 nt
Organism: Sus scrofa (pig)
Lineage: Eukaryota; Metazoa; Chordata; Mammalia; Artiodactyla; Suidae
Source: RefSeq, a predicted model, not a curated record